Molecule: unclassified non-coding RNA, 359 nt
Filed under: Hevea brasiliensis (rubber tree)
Lineage: Eukaryota; Viridiplantae; Streptophyta; Magnoliopsida; Malpighiales; Euphorbiaceae
Source: RNAcentral
CAGAUCGGUGCUUACUUUGUGAGGGACUCCUUGGAUCUGCAAUGGUUCUGCUGCUGGAGUUUGUGGGUGAAGCAUAGGUUCUGUGUUAUAGGAGAGGUGAGUUCCCAGAGCCAUGAACGCCAUUGUUGCGACUGCUGGUUCAACUCGGCUAUGAGAGAAUGAAAGUGCCGAGUGCUUUCUUCUCCUUCAGAUUCCUGCCCACCUCCUUCCUUCGGUGUUUGGCUAGCCUUGGUUCUUUGAUGGUGACUGGAGGUCUGAUGCUGAUUACUUGGUGGAACACCAUCUGCUCUUGUGCUUGCGCCUAUGUUCUACUCUAGCAAGUUGUUUUGGAUGGAAAUAGCUCUGUUGCUCCGGGGCCC